GUCCCUACGGGAGGCAGCAGUGAGGAAUAUUGGUCAAUGGGAGAGAUCCUGAACCAGCCAAGCCGCGUGAAGGAUGACGGCCCUAUGGGUUGUAAACUUCUUUUGUCAGGGAGCAAUUGAGUCCACGUGUGGGCUUAGCGAGAGUACCUGAAGAAAAAGCAUCGGCUAACUCCGUGCCAGCAGCCGCGGUAAUACGGAGGAUGCGAGCGUUAUCCGGAUUUAUUGGGUUUAAAGGGUGCGUAGGCGGAAUAUCAAGUCAGCGGUAAAAAUUCGGGGCUCAACCCCGUCGUGCCGUUGAAACUGAU
This 305-nucleotide ribosomal RNA is filed under the name uncultured bacterium. RNAcentral describes it as "bacterial SSU rRNA". It matches the Rfam family "Bacterial small subunit ribosomal RNA", at positions 335 to 637 of the family's 1533-position model. The record is from RNAcentral.